CGGGUCCCUUCGUUCCGCUUCUGCCGGCCCCGAGGGCAGCUUCGCGGGAGCUGCCCUGCCUGCUGUGUUCUUCCCUGCUCCGGAGCCGGGGGAGGGGGAAAGAGGCUGCUACGCGAACGAUGGGGUGGGAGCAGCAGAGGUAUGUGUCAUCCACCUGCUGACAUGGUCUGCAAAAGAAAACUUGUUCCGGAGACCUCAUCACCACUGAGAGAGACAAG
Molecule: long non-coding RNA, 218 nt
Filed under: Gallus gallus (chicken)
Lineage: Eukaryota; Metazoa; Chordata; Aves; Galliformes; Phasianidae
Source: RNAcentral